CUCAAUUCUCUUCUUGCCUCUGUAUCCAGCCACAACAACUGCAUCGUAUACUGGGAGCCACUUGUAGGGGUUCACAGUGACGCAGAACAACCCUGAGUAGGUCUGAAGAUGUGAACAGAAACAUUUCCAGAAGAGCAGACUUUCAAAAAUGGUUAGGCAACAAACUUUUACAGGAUCAAGAAUAUGGUGUUCCCGAGGCAUGCCAAGUCAUCUUGCAGAGACAUCAAGAUCAGAUGUGGAGAAGCACUCAGCAUCACGGCUCUUGGCUCUCAUCUUGUUGACCUGGGUUUCCGCGAUGUCAGCACGCUCCUGAGCUUCCUCCAGCUCAUGCUGUACCUUCCUGAACCUGGAGAGAUUCCUGACAUUAUGAGUCUAAACAGAAGAAAACUCUCUGGAUUAUCUGCAUGGCACAUCCUUGGAUGAGUUCUUGUUUUUUUAUUAUAAGUGUGUUGGUUCAGUGAUGGCUGAGUGGGUGAGCACUCUUUUGUCUCGGCGGGAGUGAGCAGAGAUGGAGAGCGAGAGCUGGAGAAUUGGAUUACCUACCACUGGUCUGGUCUAGAGUUUCAUACCAUAUUUCUAAUCAGGAAAGGACAAGACAGGCAACUCACUUGCCCUCGGCAGUCUGAAGGGAAGUGGUGAGGAGUGAGCUACACCAGGAGCACCUGCUCUCCGCAAAGGUCUUUUUCAUUUUCUUCUAGACGUGGCUGACGUGUGUCUGAACUGUGGCCGGCGCACAAAAGCAUGAAAAAAAUACAGCCUGGAUGGUAACGUAAACCUGAACAGGUGCAGAAUGAGGGGCACACAUCUGAGAAGAAUACAAGCAAACACACAAAUGUGCUAAAUAAUACACAAGUUCACUGGAUAAAUAUAUUUUAAAUAAUGUUCUUUUUUUUUUUCUUCCACUUUCUGAUCAACAGAUUGACUCUUGUGGUGAAAACGGGAUGGGAGGAUGCUAGACAAAUAUACAGAUGUGUGUCUUUGUUUGGGUGUGUGGACGUAUGUAUAUGGGUAUGUAUGUGUUUAAUUGUAAAACUGUACAUUUGAAUCCUUUUCAAUAAUUAUUUUGGUGAGAUUUUGAGUAUCAGGAUUAUUACAGUAAUUAAGUGAUUAUGGCAUGCUUCAAUAGACACAAUCACCCACACAAAAAAAAAAAACAUAU
Long non-coding RNA from Astyanax mexicanus (Mexican tetra), 1159 nucleotides. RefSeq lists it as uncharacterized. The record is from RefSeq and is a predicted model, not a curated record. Lineage: Eukaryota; Metazoa; Chordata; Actinopteri; Characiformes; Acestrorhamphidae. The transcript has 9 exons.